Molecule: ribosomal RNA, 863 nt
Filed under: uncultured soil bacterium
Lineage: Bacteria
Description: bacterial SSU rRNA
Rfam family: Bacterial small subunit ribosomal RNA
Source: RNAcentral
AGGACGAACGCUGGCGGCGUGCCUAACACAUGCAAGUCGAACGAGGUCCAACCGGUAGCAAUACUGGUGAAGAUCAAGUGGCGAACGGGUGAGUAGCACGUGAGCAACCUGCCCCGAAGACUGGGACAACACCGGGAAACCGGUGCUAAUACCGGAUAUCCCCACCGAGUCGCAUGGCUUGGUGAGGAAAUGGAUUCCGCUUCGGGAGGGGCUCGCGGCCUAUCAGCUAGUUGGUGAGGUAACGGCUCACCAAGGCUUCGACGGGUAGCUGGUCUGAGAGGACGAUCAGCCACACUGGGACUGAGACACGGCCCAGACUCCUACGGGAGGCAGCAGUGGGGAAUCUUGCACAAUGGGCGAAAGCCUGAUGCAGCAACGCCGCGUGAGGGACGAAGGCUUUCUGAGUUGUAAACCUCUUUCAGCAGGGACGAUUGUGACGGUACCUGCAGAAGAAGCCCCGGCCAACUACGUGCCAGCAGCCGCGGUAAUACGUAGGGGGCAAGCGUUGUCCGGAUUUAUUGGGCGUAAAGAGCUCGUAGGCGGCUUGGCAAGUCGAAUGUGAAACCUCCAGGCUCAACCUGGAGAUGCCAUUUGAUACUGCCAUGGCUAGGGUUUGGUAGGGGACCACGGAAUUCCUGGUGUAGCGGUGAAAUGCGCAGAUAUCAGGAGGAACACCAGCGGCGAAGGCGGUGGUCUGGGCCAAUACUGACGCUGAGGAGCGAAAGCGUGGGGAGCGAACAGGAUUAGAUACCCUGGUAGUCCACGCCGUAAACGUUGGGCACUAGGUGUGGGGACCUAUCGACGGUUUCUGUGCCGCAGCUAACGCAUUAAGUGCCCCGCCUGGGGAGUACGGCCGCAAGGCU